AGAGUUUGAUCCUGGCUCAGGAUGAACGCCGGCGGUGUGCCUAAUACAUGCAAGUCGAACGCGUUGGCCCAACUGAUUGGACGUGCUUGCACGGACUUGACGUUGGUUUACCAGCGAGUGGCGGACGGGUGAGUAACACGUAGGUAACCUGCCCCAAAGCGGGGGAUAACAUUUGGAAACAGAUGCUAAUACCGCAUAACAAUUUGAAUCGCAUGAUUCAGAUUUAAAAGAUGGUUUCGGCUAUCACUUUGGGAUGGACCUGCGGCGCAUUAGCUUGUUGGUAGGGUAAUGGCCUACCAAGGCUGUGAUGCGUAGCCGAGUUGAGAGACUGAUCGGCCACAAUGGAACUGAGACACGGUCCAUACUCCUACGGGAGGCAGCAGUAGGGAAUCUUCCACAAUGGGCGCAAGCCUGAUGGAGCAACACCGCGUGAGUGAAGAAGGGUUUCGGCUCGUAAAGCUCUGUUGUUAGAGAAGAACGUGCGUGAGAGUAACUGUUCACGCAGUGACGGUAUCUAACCAGAAAGUCACGGCUAACUACGCGCCAGCAGCCGCGGUAAUACGUAGGUGGCAAGCGUUAUCCGGAUUUAUUGGGCGUAAAGCGAGCGCAGGCGGUUUGAUAAGUCUGAUGUGAAAGCCUUUGGCUUAACCAAAGAAGUGCAUCGGAAACUGUCAGACUUGAGUGCAGAAGAGGACAGUGGAACUCCAUGUGUAGCGGUGGAAUGCGUAGAUAUAUGGAAGAACACCAGUGGCGAAGGCGGCUGUCUGGUCUGCAACUGACGCUGAGGCUCGAAAGCAUGGGUAGCGAACAGGAUUAGAUACCCUGGUAGUCCAUGCCGUAAACGAUGAGUGCUAGGUGUUGGAGGGUUUCCGCCCUUCAGUGCCGCAGCUAACGCAUUAAGCACUCCGCCUGGGAGUACGACCGCAAGGUUGAAACUCAAGGAAUGACGGGGCCCGCACAAGCGGUGGAGCAUGUGUUUAAUCGAGCUACGCGAAGAACCUUACCAGGUCUGACAUCUGCGCACCCUAAAAGAUAGGGCGUUUCUUCGGGACGCAAUGACAAGGGGGUGCAUGGUCGUCGUCAGCUCUUGUCUGUGGAGAUGCG
Molecule: ribosomal RNA, 1104 nt
Filed under: uncultured bacterium
Lineage: Bacteria
Description: bacterial SSU rRNA
Rfam family: Bacterial small subunit ribosomal RNA
Source: RNAcentral